This is a non-coding RNA of Epichloe festucae Fl1, 94 nucleotides long. The record is from the annotation of a GenBank genome assembly. NCBI's taxonomy places the organism in Eukaryota, Fungi, Ascomycota, Sordariomycetes, Hypocreales, Clavicipitaceae.
GGCGCUGUGGCGGAGUGGUCCAACGCGAAAGAUUCGAAUUCCCCUGGGACAUCUUUUCCCUUAGGGGGCACCGGUUCGAAUCCGGUCGGCGUCG